RNAcentral lists this small RNA (832 nucleotides) under fungal sp. SB37. Its description in RNAcentral is "eukaryotic LSU rRNA". The stretch from base 198 to 351 matches the Rfam family "5.8S ribosomal RNA". Lineage: Eukaryota; Fungi. The record is from RNAcentral.
UCGUCUCCCUAGUCCUCGUCUGCGCAGUAUAUUACCGACCCAUCAACCCCCCAAGGGGGAGGAUCCACCCCUUGUUAUUAAAACCUUUUUUGUUUUUCUGAGCCCCUUAGGACCCUCCCUCUUGCUGGCUGCCGCUCGCUUUGGACCACAAACUCUGUUUACUUAUGUCAACUGAUCACUUGUCUCCGGUCUCGAAAAACUUUCAACAGCAGAUCUCCUGUUUCUGGAUGUGCAUAAUAACGCAAGUAAUUGAAUCUUUGAACGUGAAUUGCACAAUUUGGUGUUUCAUCGAAUCUUUGAACGAACAUUGCGCCCCUUGCCUUUCGCCGGGGCUUGCCUGGGCGAGCCCCAGUGCAACCCUCAAAAUCUGUUUGGGAUUGGACCGCAUCCGUUCUGAUCGAUCUUAAAAUCUCCGGCGGGGCCCUCGGGCUCUAAGCGUAGUAAUACUCCUCGGUCCCCGGAUUCGGUGGGGACUUGUCAGCAACCCCCAACUUUCUAAGUUUGAACUCCCAUCAGGUAGGGAUACCCGCUGAACUUAAGCAUAUCAAUAAGCGGAGGAAUACAUCAUAGACGUUUCUGCUGAGCAAGCACAGAUUUUUAAACUGUCGAAGCACGGUGGCCAGUGGACUCCCUCUCAACUGAAACAGAUCGAUUGGCGCAAGAAAGUUUCGGUGGUUUGUUCGAUUGAAGCAGUUUGAACCCGUCUUUACACCUAGUUCGCAUUCUUCCUGAAUAUUCCGAGGUGCUUCAUGCUCAUUAAUCAGUAUCAUUAAUACCGCGAAGUGAACCCGAGGAAACUCGACCAACUUAAUCCUAUGAAGAAACGUAGGAA